RNA transcript from Bombus pascuorum, 13193 nucleotides. It is a transcript of the gene named calcium-transporting ATPase sarcoplasmic/endoplasmic reticulum type, with no coding region annotated. The record is from RefSeq and is a predicted model, not a curated record. The transcript has 15 exons. NCBI's taxonomy places the organism in Eukaryota, Metazoa, Arthropoda, Insecta, Hymenoptera, Apidae.
CGUCGCUUCGUUUCGUUGAGCAGCGCAGGCGUUGCCCUUUGAAUGUUUGUUUGUUUUCGCCCUCGACCACCCUUCAUGUAAAGAGGAAAGCAAAGGAACCAGAGGAAAGCGCGCGUUCUCACGGUACGAUGUUCAGGGAGGAGUAGCGAGUCUGUAAUCGGGAUCGUCGCAUCAACCGGGGAGAGACAGGCCUCGCAAAAGUUCGCCGCAGUGUGACACACUCGCCGCCUUCUCUUUCGCUUACUUUACCAGUUUUCACGGUACUCUUCUACGCACUGUUCGUCGUACAACGCGAAAGAAACGCGCGGCCGAUCGUAGAAUCGCAAAGUGCGACCGGGACCCAGCCGCACCGGUGCCGGUUUCCUUCGAGAAAUCGAUUCGGUGAGGAAACAACAGCCCGGAGCCAAGCACAAGAAGACGAAGCAUUGAAAAUUGCAGUGUGAAUGAACGUGGACAGUCACUGAACAGAUAAAAUUAGUGACUAAUACAGAAGUAACCAUGGAGGACGGUCAUUGCAAAACAGUGGACGAGGUGGUAAAUUUCUUUAAUGUCGAUGCUGACAAAGGAUUAUCUCUUGACCAAGUUAAGAGGAACCAGGAGAAAUAUGGUCUCAAUGAAUUGCCAGCCGAGGAGGGAAAGUCCAUAUGGCAACUCGUCUUGGAGCAAUUCGACGACCUUCUAGUUAAGAUUCUUCUAUUAGCCGCUAUUAUUUCUUUUGUAUUAGCUUUAUUUGAGGAGCACGAGGAUGCAUUCACGGCCUUCGUCGAGCCCUUCGUCAUUUUGCUCAUUCUCAUUGCCAACGCCGUGGUCGGUGUGUGGCAAGAACGUAAUGCCGAGUCUGCGAUCGAAGCGUUGAAAGAGUACGAGCCUGAGAUGGGCAAAGUCCUGCGAAUGGACAAAGCCGGCGUCCAGAGGAUUCGUGCCAAGGAGAUCGUGCCCGGCGACAUCGUGGAAGUGUCCGUCGGUGACAAGAUCCCGGCCGAUAUCCGUCUAACCAAGAUCUUCUCGACUACCCUCAGGAUCGAUCAAUCUAUCCUGACCGGUGAAUCUGUCUCGGUAAUCAAGCAUACGGAUCCUGUGCCUGACCCACGUGCCGUCAAUCAGGACAAGAAGAACAUCUUGUUCUCCGGUACUAACGUAGCCGCGGGUAAGGCUCGCGGUGUCGUCAUUGGAACUGGACUGAACACCGCCAUUGGUAAGAUCCGUACCGAGAUGUCCGAGACCGAGGAGAUCAAAACGCCUCUGCAACAGAAAUUGGACGAGUUUGGCGAACAAUUAUCGAAGGUUAUCUCCGUGAUUUGCGUGGCUGUCUGGGCCAUCAACAUUGGACACUUUAACGAUCCCGCUCAUGGUGGAUCUUGGAUCAAGGGAGCCAUCUACUACUUCAAGAUCGCCGUUGCCCUAGCUGUAGCCGCCAUUCCCGAAGGUUUGCCGGCUGUAAUUACCACUUGCUUGGCUUUGGGUACCCGUCGUAUGGCGAAGAAGAACGCCAUUGUGCGAUCCUUGCCAUCCGUCGAGACCUUAGGUUGUACCUCUGUCAUCUGUUCGGACAAGACUGGUACCUUGACUACCAACCAGAUGUCUGUUAGCCGAAUGUUCAUCUUCGAUAAAAUCGAGGGCAACGACAGCAGCUUCCACGAAUUCGAGAUCACUGGUUCGACCUACGAACCAGUGGGUGAGAUUUUCUUGAGAGGCAAGAAGAUUCGUGGUCAGGACUACGAAACUCUUCACGAAGUCGGUACGAUCUGUAUCAUGUGCAACGACUCGGCUAUCGAUUUCAACGAAUUCAAACAAGCAUUCGAGAAGGUCGGCGAGGCAACUGAGACUGCUCUUAUCGUUCUUGCGGAGAAGAUCAAUCCGUACGGUGUCUCUAAGAGCGGAUUGGAUAGGCGUAAUACGGCCAUCGCUGCCAGACAAGACAUGGAGACGAAAUGGAAGAAAGAAUUCACUCUGGAGUUCUCUCGCGAUCGUAAAUCUAUGUCUUCUUACUGUACACCCUUGAAACCAACUAAAUUGGGUACUGGACCGAAAUUGUUCGUUAAGGGCGCCCCAGAAGGUGUCUUGGACAGGUGCACGCACGCUCGUGUUGGAUCUACCAAAGUUCCUCUUACGUCUACCCUGAAAAACCGUAUAUUGGAUCUGACUCGCCAAUAUGGUACUGGCCGAGACACUCUGCGUUGUCUUGCUCUUGCCACUGCUGAUCACCCAAUGAAACCUGACGAUAUGGAUCUUGAUGACUCCACGAAGUUCUACACGUACGAAAAGGACCUCACCUUCAUCGGUGUCGUUGGUAUGCUUGACCCACCUCGUAAGGAAGUAUUCGACUCGAUUGCCAGGUGUCGUGCCGCUGGUAUUCGUGUUAUUGUCAUUACUGGUGACAACAAGGCUACCGCUGAAGCCAUCUGUAGACGCAUCGGUGUCUUCGGUGAAGAUGAAGAUACGACCGGAAAGUCAUACUCUGGACGUGAAUUCGAUGAUCUUCCUUCGUCGGAACAGAAGGCUGCCUGCGCCAGAGCUCGUCUCUUCUCUCGCGUAGAACCCGCUCACAAAUCCAAGAUCGUUGAGUUCUUACAAAGCAUGAAUGAAAUUUCGGCUAUGACUGGUGAUGGUGUAAAUGAUGCGCCUGCUCUGAAAAAAGCCGAGAUUGGUAUUGCUAUGGGAUCUGGUACCGCUGUCGCGAAAUCUGCCUCUGAGAUGGUAUUAGCUGACGAUAACUUCUCUUCCAUUGUCGCCGCUGUUGAGGAAGGUCGUGCCAUCUAUAACAACAUGAAACAGUUCAUUCGUUAUCUGAUUUCUUCCAAUAUUGGUGAAGUCGUAAGUAUAUUCUUGACUGCCGCCCUUGGUCUUCCCGAAGCUCUGAUCCCUGUACAACUUUUGUGGGUCAACUUGGUAACUGACGGUCUUCCAGCUACUGCUCUCGGUUUUAAUCCACCUGACUUGGACAUUAUGAGCAAGCCUCCUCGUAAAGCCGACGAAUCUCUCAUCUCUGGUUGGUUGUUCUUCCGCUAUAUGGCUAUUGGUGGAUAUGUAGGUGCUGCGACUGUUGGAUCGGCUGCAUGGUGGUUCAUGUACAGUCCGCAUGGACCACAGAUGAGCUAUUAUCAACUGACUCAUCACUUGGCGUGCUUGGGCGGUGGCGAUGAAUUCAAAGGAGUUAAUUGCAAGAUCUUCACAGAUCCUCAUCCCAUGACGAUGGCUCUGUCUGUACUCGUAACCAUUGAAAUGUUGAAUGCUAUGAACAGUUUAUCUGAGAAUCAGUCUCUCGUCACUAUGCCGCCCUGGUCUAACAUGUGGCUCAUUGCCUCUAUGGCUCUUUCUUUCACACUCCACUUUGUCAUCCUUUACAUCGACGUCCUUUCGUCUGUAUUCCAAGUUACUCCUCUAACGGGCGAGGAGUGGGUUACCGUUAUGAAGUUCUCCAUUCCAGUGGUACUUCUCGACGAAACUCUUAAGUUCAUUGCCAGAAAGUUCGCAGAUGCAUUUGGAGUGUCUCCUUCGAUCAAGACGACAAAACUGGAACUGCCUAACCCGUUGCUGAAAUAUCAACAUAGAGAUUGUGCAUGAAGUUGAAAAAUUAAUGGAUCUCACCUUUAAACCCGUCUAUUAAUUAUGUCUUCCUUCCCUUGUAGACGAGUAAUUGCAUGCACAACCGUACUACCGAUGGUAAAUCCUAACCAAAACAAGAAUAUUCACCUCGUAGAACAAUCACUAUCAAUGGUUUUCGAAUCCUGCUGUGCUUUACCUAUUUCCUUGAUGAUACUCAAUCUGUUUAAGGCAUUCUUUAAUUACUCGAUAUUUAGCCUGGUACAAGUAAGAGUCAACUUCAACAGUGUACAGGUAAAAAACGAAAUUUACGUAUAUUUUAAUCUUUACCGUUGAAUUACAUUAGCACGGCAGGAUCAUCCUAACAUCUUUGCACUAUCAUUGCAUCCAUGCUGUUACCUUCACGUGUACUUUACUGGAUGUGAUUUGUGUCUAAACAAUCGAUGCCACGUAAUAGAUUUGUAAUACCACUAAUUCACCGGACACGGGCUGCAAAGGCUCGUGCGUAUAAAAUAUAAAAAAAAAAAAUAAUUCGACAUUGAUCUAUGGUCUUUGACAGUCCGUGUCUCGUCAUAUUAAUGUCCCUCAGGAUGGUGGUCUGAACGCGAGAACGCUCGAUCAGGAAGUAUAUCUUUGUUCCUAUUAACAACAAUUGCUGACAGUUCGAGGCAUUGGAAUCUCUUCGCUUGACUCUUUCAUUGUGGAAUUAUAGAUAAAUAGCGAACGAUAGUUUUAGCGUAUUUGAAUAAUAAACCAUUUCUACGAAAGUACAUGCUAUCAGAUGAAUAAAAUUGACUUUAAUCAAUAAGUCGACAAAAGUGGAUCACCGCGAUGAAAGAGCUGACACCAUCACGAACGUUCACUGUCCGAUAAUCUAUUUUUCUCCCCCUCCCCUUUUUUGUACAGAGACGCGAUAUAGUUUUCACAUAUAAGAAAUUUGUAAAAAUGAAUGUUACGAAUGUUAUUUACCCUGGACAGUAUAAAUGUGUUAGAUCAGUUCUUGUCACGUUACAAACGUUGUUCAGUCGAACGUCCAAGAGAACUGCAUACAUAGCUUUUCCUGUAUAAAUACUUUCAUAUCCUCAUUGUCAUCGUCGUCGUCGUUUUCUUCUUUCUCUUCUUCUAGUUGUUCUUGUUGUUACAAUCAACGUAGAUAAGAAUGCUCGAGCAUCGAACGAGAUUUCGAGUUCAGAUUCGCCAUCAGAUACCCAUGCUAUAUAAUAUACACGCGCCACAUGCGAAAGCGAAAGAUCCGGUGUCGUCACGAGUAUACGUGGGCCUUUUUAACGCAUCUAACCGCUGUCUCUUAGUCAUUUCUCUCAUUCGGGAUUUUAUAAAUCGUACCACGUUAGGAAGAUACGAGGAAAAAAAUAGUGUCAUUCGGCCGAGUCGAGUGCCGUGUUUUCAUACUUUUUUUUUUUUUUUCUUUUUUGGCGAGCAAACGAAGGCGAAAAAUAUAAAUCGGAUAAGCCAUUCCUCGACCACGUGCAAACGCAACAAGACUGACGAUGUGGCCUCGAGGAUCGGUUUGCGUACCUUUUGCGUUCAAAAAAAGACGAGACGAUGAGAACGUUCUCUCUUUUUUUCUCCGUUCUCUUUUUUUCUUUGAGUGUCCACCGUUCGUUCGACGCGACGAGUGCAUAUAAUUAAUUUAAUUCUGCGUGAGACAGCGUCAUUCGCAGUGUAACGACUAGUGUAAUAUAUAAAUAUACAUAUAUGUAUAUGUAUAUAUAUAUUAAUUACCGGUUAGGGCGCCAUACUACUUUGGUAUAGACAUAAUUAAACUUAAUCAGACUCAUGAAGCAAGGAUUCGUAAAGAAACAUCGAAAAGACUUGUACGAUCCGUUUGUCCACGUGCUUAAGGUGCAGCGCUAGAGCGUGCGCGCACUCUAAACCACGCUUUUAUUUUAUUUCAUACUUUUCCCUCCUUUUUCGACUGUAUUCAACUCACUAACUUGUAUGUUUUAUUCGAAAUAACGGAAUUUACUUUUUGUACAGCGAGAUAUGAUGAAGUAUCGGCACGAUUUUCUCCGAUAAUCUCGUGCCAGACAUAGUCGAUGAACAAAAAAUGAAAGUGUAACGUUAUAAAUGUAUAACUUUUCCUCUUUUUUUCUUUCCCCCUCUUCGAAUUUAAUUAUCGUAUCAGCACGGAGAUAUCAGCGAAGAUCAUGGUGCCGAUACGGUCAGAAAAAGCAAAAAGAAAUAUUAAAAAGGUGAUUGAAAGAAAAAAAAGAAAAGUAGAACGGUCUGACAGCACUUCAUCAACGCUCAAUAAACAUUGACGAGAGAAAUUCCGUGCUUUCUUUCGUUCACUCGACGUCUCGAACGUUUGUAAGUACUUGCAUAUUGUGUGGAUUGUGUUCUCUUCAUCUUUCACUUUUCCUUUUCUUUUGCUCUUCGUUUACUUCCUCCCUUCUAAUUAACUCUCAUUGACAAAAGAUCCGUGACAAAGAAGACGAGGAGCAGUAGAGAGUGCCAUCGAUGAAAGUGAAGGCCGAUGCAGCGUUGGGCAAUUGAUCGUACGUUUGAAUCGCGAUCGGCGCGCACCUUCGAGUAUAUCUCCUUCGAUCGGCGAUCGAAAGAGAAAUUAUUUUGGAAUUUGUCAGAAAAAAAAGAUACAUAUAUAUAAGUAUAUAUAUUUUGACCUAUCUACCUUCGUAGUAUAAAUCUUCUCAUUCACACCUGAAGAAGAUAUAACUCGAAACGUAUUGAUUAACAAUUGAUUAAUAAUUUAAAGAAAAAGAACGAAUAAAAUGCAAGAAAUGGAGAGAUAAAUAAAAAGUUCCACAUUUUUUCGCAAGAAGCUUGCCCAACGCUUCAAAUAACCUAAUCUAGUACGAUAUAGCUACGAUGAUGAAACCACGGUCGCAUCGUUCGUGCAGGAAGUACCUAUUUCUAAUGAUAUAAUGAGAUAAUAAUAAUAUUAAUAUUAAUAAUAAUAAUCAUAAUAAUUAAUAACUUAUAAUAGAGAGUGCGACUACAUUGAAUGAUUUUUUUAUGCAUACUCUCAUCGCCACGGAUGCACGUUGUGGCGAGCCACGGUGUGUGAUGAUCCUAAUUAAUUAGACCCGGGUAUAUUCAUAGUUUAACGAGUAACCGGGACGAGGUUCGAUCUUGUACACAGAAAGAAGUUAAUAGUAAUAUAAAGAAUUAUAAACGAUCGCGAGUUACUCACAGGAUCGCUAUGAAAUAGAACAGUCUAUAUAUAUAGAUACAUAUGUAUGUGUAUAUAUAUAUAUUAUACGUGUAUACCAAUAUUUCGAUCGAUGAUUGCAAAUUAAGAAAAAGACAACGUCGAUCGAUUUAUAGGCUACAGAUAUUUUCAUCUGUCGUUAGUAAAAAUCGAAAGGUUUAUUUAACAGUUUAUUUUUAUUUAUUCAUGUACACAUACACACAAACACACACAUAUAUACACAGAGAAGUUCGAAUCGAGACCGGAAGAACAAUUAUAAGUGAAAGUAUAAAUAUCGCAUCGCGGCUAUCAUUAAUCUCGAUACGAUGAACUGCGGUCCGAUCUAGUGCGUUACUUGUUGUAAUAAAAGAUAAGAAAAAAAAAAGAAAGAAAGAAAGAAAAACAAUGAUGUGUUACUCAUGCGUGUUCGAAGUUUCAUUGAUCGGCCUACCACGAGUUAGAAAUUACUUGAUAAGAAUACGGUAUAUACUUGAGAAGUGGCAUCUGCCGCGUGUACGAACAUCGAACACUUAAUACAAUGUGAACUGUAAUAAGUGUUUGUCUCCAUUCACGCCUGCGACUAUUUGUACCUUUUUCUCUCUCAUUCAUUCACUUCUCCCAUUCCCAUGAUCUGUUUGUAUCUUAUCCUUUACUGUACUACGACGUCCCGUGCCGUGGUUAAUAUUGUUAGCGAUUUCUGGGUGUACAUGGUACUUUUUUUUUUUAAAACAUAUUUUGUUUCCUCUUUCUAGUACUUUUCUUUCUCUGUUUAUUUAUUAGGUUUGGAUAUGAAGGAAAUAAAGGUUUUUGAUCACUCGAAGUGACUUUCUUAAACUUUAUUCCUAUAUUUUAUUCACUCAGUUUCUCGUAUUUUCUUUCUCAAUUUCUAAAUCGAAGUACCGGCAAAACGUUUGUUCGCGGAACGUUUAAUGGACACUUGGAGACCUCUACCAUUCUUAACUACCGUAACCUGGAUCAGAAAUUGCUCCAGGAUUCCGACUCGCUCCGUUAUCGACCGGACGUGCGAGGAAUGGUCGAAAGGAUGUGAAAUUCGCGAGAAUUCGCUCGUGGAACCGGAAGCGGACCAGUUCGAAAUCGUCAUCCGCGACUCGAAGCUCGAACAGUCACAACCAUCUCGCGUUAUAUUAUACAUCAUCAUCACCGGCCAUUCUGUGUUCCCCUCGGAAUUGUUGUUUGAAUUUUUUGCAUGCUUCCUCUGAACAGAUAAAAACACAAUUUGAAAAUCAAAGACGAACAGAAUACCAAUUUAUAACUGUCCUGUUGGCCUGAAUGACAACAAAAAAAAAAGCAAUCUACUCCUAAUCGAAGAAGUUGACCCCGACACACUUUUCUUUGCUAACUCCUGCCUGCUGAUGUGUGAAAACUAUUCAGUCACAGAGUAAAAACGUAAUGUCCGAGGAGAGAUCGCUGCUCCACGCGUGGAUCCAUCAGUGGCACCACCUGUGACGCCGCCGAAAUAAAGCUCGGGAACCGCGAUAGGACGAAAAUCGCCAGCAGUCCGGACACAGAGAAAAAGAUCGUCAGAAUGGCACUUAAACAACACCCACCCAAGCAACAACAACCCGCAAGCUGACCGAUGGGAUCGAGCCGAAAACAGAGAUCUUAUGAGACACCAUCGACACGUUAUACACCGACACACGCAUAUGUACACACAUACAUACACCAACCACACACACAAUGCUAUACAGUCGUAUACAUAUAGAAAAAGAACAGACAAAACGGAAACUACGAAACGACGGGGCGCGUUCUUCGCUUUCGUUAAACAAACCGAUUCUGUAUCAUUGGUAGAACGAGUAUGGCGAGUUUCAGGGAAAUUUCAUAGCAAGCGUAGACGAGGUCCGAGUGCCUGGGUUUGGGUGUUAAUUUCGUUGGCUGUUCUCUCGGUGCGUUGACACGUUUGCCAUCGGUGAUUUUCUGUGUUGCUCGCCUUCCCCCGUUUUCAAUGAAAAAGACGCUAAUUAAAUAUGUAAUAAAGGAAAAGACAAGAUGUAUAUCGUUGAACGUGUCGAUAUUUCAACAGUCUAGCAGUCCGAUAAGAAGUUUACAAAUUGUAUAUUAAUAAAAUAUGUUUGAAAUAUGUCUUCUAUCUAUAGACAAAAAAAAAAACUGAUCGAACACUUCGCUAUACUCGUUCCACCGAUUAUGCUCAAUAUAGUGAUCGCGCCCUAAUAGAGGGGUGUUUAGAGUCAGACAGACAGAGAGGGAGAAAGAAAGAAAGAAAGAGAGAGAGAGAAAGAGAGGAGGAGAAAAAAUUCACAUUCGAAGAGACAAAGGGGGUACUCGUCAUCCACGACAGUGCGAAAAAUGAUCGAGGAAGUUUGAGGUAAAGAAAGAACGAAAAAAACAGAAAAGAAGGGAUACGAUCGAUCACAGCUUCAGGCUCAGCCUUCGAGAUAUCAACGAACGUCUAAUCGGAGCAGCUUGCCAAGUUUUUCACGGUCGAUCCGCACGAGAGAUCGAAGGAUCGACGAGCAAGUUGAAAAGUCUUCGCGACACGGUGUAGGAAAAGAAUCGAACUAAUCGAUAUGUGCCUGUGUUAUUAUGUUGCAGCAAACGAAGCGGUUGUCGACAAGUGGGGUUAGGCUUGUCUCGUCGUGCUCCGUCGGCAACAGAAUUCCUCUGCCAAGCACGAACCAGAAAACAAACCAUACACGCGCGUACACACACACAUAUACCAAAAAAGAAAAAUCAAUAUUAAUAAUAAUGAUAUAACACUGUAACGAAAAGCUAGGUGAAAAGGAGACGCGGAAGAGAAGCAAGCACGGCCGAAAGCGAAGACACGAAACAGUGGAACCGGAGUGGAAGCGGAGAGGAACCAGACUGGAGCCGUGCGAGAAAUUCCAAAAUUCCAACACUUUCAGGGAAAGUCGAAAGAAAUUCCAGAGAAAUUCGCGCGAACGUUACGACGAUGUGAUAAUCACGAGUGAGAACGAAAGAUAAACGAAAGGAGAAAGAUUAAAAAUUCGAAUGAUUUUUGGGUAAAGAUACGAUCUGCUGUAACGUUAGAGCGGCUGGACUGCGUCGGUAAUGCAGGGAGGAGCUGAGAUAGAUCGCUCUCUAUUAUCAUUUUACACCUACUCCGAUUUCCUGGCUGGCUACCGUGUCACGCACUGCCGCUGCUUUUCCGUUUCAUCGUCUUCUGGUCCUGGCAGGGGUUUUGUUCGCGUGUUUCCUAUUCUUUGUACAGGGAAUGUAUAUGUACAUAAUAUACCGUGUCGUAUCGUGUCGUCGGUGACAAGCCGAAACGCCGCGAAGAGUAAAUGAAGAGAUUGAAAAUCGCGGUUUCUGAUGAAGAGUAGAUAACAAAAAAUGAAUGGAAAGGGGAAAAAAAUCUUUUUACGUUUUAUCUAGAGCAAUAUGCUGAUUUAAAUCUUUCGACCGACAGUAUGGUUGUUUCUUUUUUUUUUUUAGAGUCGCGUAACGAUGAAAUGGUGGAUGGUAUAACCAUCGACUUUUCGUUAUCAUUAAUUCUAUAACUUCUUUAACGUCGGUAGAAUUCAUUGUAGUGUUAGUUGGUAGAGUUUCUUAUCUUUAAAGGAGCUACGUUUUCUUCAAUUAAUUAGCAAACUAACUGCAGAAUCAUUGAUAUCUUUCUUUUUUAAAAUUAAGUAAGGAACUUAUUACCGGAUCUAUUUAUUUCACAUUUCUAGCGCAUUCUCCUUACAAACAACUUUCUUUUUUUCCUUUUCUUGUUCUUUCUCUCUUCUCCUGGCUUCUUUUUUUCUUCUAUCCAUUCCUUCUUCUUUCUCGAUCUUUCUUCUCUCUGUCUCUUUUUCUCUGUCUCUCUUUCUCUGUCUCUCUUUCUCUGUCUCCCUCUCUUUCUCUCUCUCCCUCUCUCUCUCUCUCUCUCUCUCUCAUAACUUCCACGCGUUUCUUUUCUCUAAUCGUGUCUUCUUAUCGCUAUCCUCAAAGACACUCUAUAUUUUCUACUGAAAAGAGACAUACCUGUGCAUCAUCCUGGAAAGACUUUUUCCCUUGAAAUGUAUUCAAGGUUCCUAUCUGAAAAAUACUCCAAUAACCACGAAACGCUCCAACGGACACCGUCGAACGUCUAGCAGAACGCUUGAAACGCGAUGAAACGCGCGUUUCCGCUAUGAUGAUCGUCACGAUGAUUCUAGUUCUCAGCCACCGAGGAUGUCGUUGUCAACGUCACCGAGUUCACAGUUCUUUCCGUUCCGAUUGUCGUACCUCGAGGAACACGCUCGAGCGAUUUUCGGCGAGAGACACAGCGAUCGAGGUGAAGAAAACCGGGACGUCGAUUGUCGAAAGUUACAGAAGGAACUUCGUCGUUGAAAAUUCUGUCGAAGCUCGGUUCCAGGAUGGAAUUCGCAAUGGCGUCGUAGGGUAACAAAUAACGACGAAGGCGACAACCGGCGGCGGAAACGCGGUGGGAAAGCAGCGAGAAUCGACGAUGCGUUACCUCCCUUCUGUCGUUGGAUCGUGUGGUACACGUUUUUAGGACGAGUGAAAAUAAUAAAAAUGGUAUAUCCUGAUCGGUGACGUAACUUUCAACGGAGGCUUCCGGCGUAACGAUCGUCGUUUCCAUUAAAACGACGAUGGAUCGAUACCACCUACUCGGAGGGUGUAACGAUCGCGGAAGCCUCCUGACGCUCACGAAACUUACGCCACUGGAGAGAAGAAUUUAAGAAGAAUUGUUAAUAAUAACGAUGUUAAAACAUACACAAAACACACACAGAAAAAAAAAGAAGGAAAAAAAUCGAUGAAGCUCGCGAGAUAUAAUUAUUGUACAUAAAAAGAGUAAUGAAAGGAUACGUUGUCACGCGCGAUAUUUAGAGAGAAAUUGAUUAUUAUUAUAUAUAUAUAUUAUGAUUAAGAGACAUUAAAUAUAUAUAUACAUAUAUUUUUCUUCGUGAAGAAAGCGCACAGACAGUCGCAGACCCGAGCGAUCUCUCGGACAAUCGAAUGGACGCCUCUCGAGCGAGAAGGAUUCGAAUCGACAGAAACGAAGAAAACCCGGAUCCCCUGUGCUUUUUCUUUCUCAGCUUCGUUUCCUGAUUUUCUUUUUCUUCUUUCGAGUUUAUUUGGUUUAAUAUUAAGAUGGAAUUAACUGCCUGUGAAUAUUUCUGAUUGUUAGGAGAGAAAAAAAAACAAAGAAAUUAUCUUUCUUUUACCUGGAUUCCUUUUUUCUCUCCAUCUGCUUCCUGUUUCUUAUCAUCGAUAUCGAUGGAAGAUGUUGCCACCCGACGAGUUACUCUCGCUUCCUCUUGUCCGUUUUCGUUCUGUUCUUGUUUCUUCUUGCUUGAGACCCUUGCUCGUAGCUAAUACAUCAGACGGUUCGAUGAAACGAUCAGUCGAUUCCUACGAAUCUUGGCGAGAACACGAACGCAACGAGAAAUUCGAUUCGGUUACUUUCACUGUCUGUGCUAGGAAGACAAUGACUCGUGGCUUGUUGGCAAGAUUUUUUACUCGACAUCCUACAAAGAAGUAACAAUCCAGCUGGCAAAGCUACAUUCUGAUAAAAAAUUCAUUAUCUUUAGAAUUAGAAAUAUGGAACUUCGUUCUUGUACCCACGAGAUCAGUUUAAACGUCUGAUUUUCGAAUUAACGAGCAGCAGGCAUCGUGUAUCGUUCGUCUAGAAAUCGUCCGAAUUUUACACACUGUUCGCUGCUAAUAAAUUACGUGGCAAUAAUUACAUAUUUUCGAAAAUUGCCUUCGACGCGUUGAACGCGCAACCAAUUUCGCUUUGCCUUCCAUUUAGCGCGUAAACGCGGAAUACGCGCCAGUGUACGAACAAAAGACGAAAGUUUACAUACAUAACGUUUAGCGUGUUAAGGCUAAGUAGCUGCGCAUUUUUGCCCGAUAGCGUAAUUUUCAAAAGCGUGUUCGAAUUGGGCGACGCACCGAUCCACAGCUAACCGAUGACCCAACCAACCACUGAGUCAUCCGUAAACGAAAACGUUGGAACGCGCAACGAUAUCGUUUUCAGUAAAUAGUGACACUUUUGAUCUCAAGUUUUUCCAUCGUGUAAGCUCGUUUCUAAGCUGCUCUUCCGCGUUCUCUGCCUCUUAACAUCUAUUUUCCACGUAUCGCCACUUCUCCCAAUUUUUCAAUCUAUCUUCUAAACCACUGGUUCAAGCUUUACGCAAAGUUUUAGAAAAUUUUUAAUAAGAAACGAUAGUUAUCUUGUCAAAUUUAAUAAGUUUAGUAUAUUAUCACAGUAAUUAUCGAAAGACGAAUAUAACAAGAGAAUCGAAGAUGGAAGAAUCGUAAUUUCUUCAAGGAAGAAAGGAAAAGACAACGGUGGUAUGCCAGCGAAACGGACAUCGUUUUGGUCCAUUGUUAAACGAAAGGACGUUGCCUAAUCGUUCUCGCUCGAGGUCGCAGUACACGUCGAGAAAUUUCGUUGUAUUCUUCUGAAAACGGCGGCAAGCCUUGCGUUAUUUUUAAUGUUGUACGUGAACAGCUCUGUACGAAUAAAGGUUUGGAAGUAACGGAG